GCCAUACCACCCUGAACACGCCCGAUCUCGUCUGAUCGCAGAAGCUAAGCAUGGUCAGUCCUGGUUGGUACUUGGAUGGGAGGAAAAACAAGAUAAAUGCU
This 101-nucleotide ribosomal RNA is filed under the name Prolemur simus (greater bamboo lemur). Lineage: Eukaryota; Metazoa; Chordata; Mammalia; Primates; Lemuridae. The record is from RNAcentral.